AAAGAUUCAUCGCUGAUAGAUAGGCAUGCGUUCCAUUAGGCAGUUGGCGGGGUAACGGCCCACCAAACCGACGAUGGAUAGGGGUUCUGAGAGGAAGGUCCCCCACAUUGGUACUGAGACACGGACCAAACUCCUACGGGAGGCAGCAGUGAGGAAUAUUGGUCAAUGGGCGUAAGCCUGAACCAGCCAAGUCGCGUGAGGGAUGAAGGUUCUAUGGAUCGUAAACCUCUUUUAUAAGGGAAUAAAGUGUGGGACGUGUCCUGUUUUGUAUGUACCUUAUGAAUAAGGAUCGGCUAACUCCGUGCCAGCAGCCGCGGUAAUACGGAGGAUCCGAGCGUUAUCCGGAUUUAUUGGGUUUAAAGGGUGCGUAGGCGGCCUUUUAAGUCAGCGGUGAAAGUCUGUGGCUCAACCAUAGAAUUGCCGUUGAAACUGGGAGGCUUGAGUAUGUUUGAGGCAGGCGGAAUGCGUGGUGUAGCGGUGAAAUGCUUAGAUAUCACGCAGAACCCCGAUUGCGAAGGCAGCCUGCCAAGCCAUGACUGACGCUGAUGCACGAAAGCGUGGGGAUCAAACAGGAUUAGAUACCCUGGUAGUCCACGCAGUAAACGAUGAUCACUAGCUGUUUGCGAUACAGUGUAA
This 636-nucleotide ribosomal RNA is filed under the name uncultured bacterium. RNAcentral describes it as "bacterial SSU rRNA". It matches the Rfam family "Bacterial small subunit ribosomal RNA", at positions 202 to 842 of the family's 1533-position model. The record is from RNAcentral.